Molecule: long non-coding RNA, 225 nt
Filed under: Helianthus annuus (common sunflower)
Lineage: Eukaryota; Viridiplantae; Streptophyta; Magnoliopsida; Asterales; Asteraceae
Description: sRNA HanXRQr2_Chr06g0277161
Source: RNAcentral
CCUUGCCAUUUGGCUGUAACCAGAGGACUGCCCCUUCCUUCUUUACAAUAUCAUCAUUGCAGUUAAGGAACAAUGUUUAGUAGUUCAGAGAUGGUACUACAAGUUCAUAUUUGCGUGUGAAGGAAAAAUAUGGAUUGCGGAUCUCUUAUACAAUAAGUCGAAAUGACUACAACGAACUUGGCACGUAACAAAGAGGUGCAACACGGAACACAUAGUAAAAUGUGA